AUACGUAGGUGGCAAGCGUUAUCCGGAUUUACUGGGCGUAAAGGGCGUGUAGGCGGUCUUGCAAGUCAGAAGUGAAAUUCCUGAGCUCAACUCGGGCGCUGCUUCUGAAACUGCAGGACUUGAGUGCUGUAGAGGCAAGUGGAAUUCCCAGUGUAGCGGUGAAAUGCGUAGAUAUUGGGAAGAACACCGGUGGCGAAGGCGACUUGCUGGGCAGCAACUGACGCUGAGGCGCGAAAGCCAGGGGAGCAAACGGGAUUAGAUACCCCGGUAGUCCUGGCCGUAAACGAUGAAUGCUAGGUGUGUGUGUAGAGAUACAUGCGUGCCGGAGUUAACGCGAUAAGCAUUCCGCCUGGGGAGUACGGUCGCAAGAUUGAAACUCAAAGGAAUGGACGGGG
This 395-nucleotide ribosomal RNA is filed under the name uncultured bacterium. RNAcentral describes it as "partial 16S ribosomal RNA". It matches the Rfam family "Bacterial small subunit ribosomal RNA", at positions 523 to 918 of the family's 1533-position model. The record is from RNAcentral.